UCUGAAAGCCUGAAUCGAUUUAUUCCGUUGGUUGGGUUUUUAUACUGAAACCCAACGGUAACUUCAACAGUGAAAACAAAAUUAUAAACGUGGGUAAAAACACGUGUCCAUGUUUGAUACAUCAACGAUUAAAACAUAAACAGAAAUAAACGGAAGGUAAACGGAAGGCCAAAACUCGUCGUUUCAUUAAAUCUCUUCUCCUCUUUCUCGACGUUGACCAACGGUCUUCCUCCUAACGCCGUGUGUUCUUUGCUGCGUAUAACACCCUCCCACAAGUUGGAGAGUAGAUAUCAUAUACUCCCAACUUGCUCAGCAGCAACUGAAGGCGCGUUCUGUGCAAUGCCUUGGUGAAAACAUCUGUUGGUUGAUCACUCGUUCCAAUGUGCUUCAAAAUAACCAUUCCCGACUUGAUCCUCUCUCUGGUCACAUGAUAGUCUAUUUCGAUAUGUUUAGUCCUCUCAUGGAACACUGGAUUUUCUGCAAUAUAUAUAGCUGACUUAUUAUCACAGUACACUUCCAUAGGCAUAGGAAUUUGAACUCCCAGCUCCUUGAUCGGUUCUGACAACCACUGCAUUUCACACACCAAAUGUGCUAAAGACCUAUACUCAGCUUCAGAGGAUGAUUUGGAAACAGUCCCUUGCUUCUUGGACCUCUAGGUAAUCAGUGAACCACCAAGAUACGUACAAUAACCAAAGAUAGAUUUCCUAGUAUCUAGGCAAGCUGCCCAAUCUGAAUCACAGUAACUAGUCAGUAAUAGCUCAUUCCAUGACUUAUACAUUAACCCUUGUGCUGGUGAUGAUUUCAAGUAUCUCAACACACGAUGAGCUGCCUCUAAAUGCACACUACAUGGCUCAUUCUGGAAUUGACUAAGCUGUUGAACAGCAAAUGUUAUGUCUGGUCUUGUGAUUGUCAGGUAAUGUAACCUUCCAACCAAAGUUCUGUACAUAGAAGGAUCAUCCAAAGGAUCACCUUGUUUUGCACUCAGCCGUAGAUUGACUUCCAUAGGACUCUUACUCCCUUUAGCCUCCAAAAAUCCAGUAUCUGUAAGUAAUUCAACACAAUACUUCCUCUGAUUCAUCACAAUACCAGCCUUUGAACGAGCAAUUUCAAGGCCUAGAAAGUAUCUAAGCUCUCCCAGAUCCUUUAUUUUAAAUUGUUGAUGUAGAUAAUCUUUCACCUCCUUGAUUUGUGAUAAAUCCUUUCCAGCAAGUAUUAUAUCAUCCACAUAAACCAAGAGCAUAACUAGUGAAUGUUCAUUACCCUUGACAAACAGUGAGUAAUCGGGACUGGUUUGUUGAAAACCAUACUUCAACAGAGCACCAGUAAGCUUAGCAAACCAUUGUCUGCUUGCUUGUUUCAGUCCAUAAAGAGACUUUCUGAGUUUCAAACAUGUACCUGGUGGUGCAUCAAGUCCUGCUGGUAUCCUCAGAUACACUUCCUCAUUUAGAGAACCCUGCAACUGGCAUGAACGAUUAGUGACAUGUGAAUUUGUAGCUGGAGCUACUGAUACUGAGGAAUGAGAUGUAUUAGGGUGAUCUGUGGCGAUAGGAGAGUGAGUAGGCAAGGUGACAGGAACAUCAACAUGUAUAUUGGGAGGAACUAGGAUUUCUGACUCAAGAGGGGUAGCUGAAGACAGUUCAUGGGAUUUGAAAGGAAAUAUGUUUUCAUAGAAAACAACAUCCCUAGAUAUAUAUAUAUAUAUAUGUUAUAGGUGGAAAGAUCUAAUAAUUUGUAUCCCUUGAUAUGAGGAGGAAUACCUAAGAGCACACUUUGCCUGGCACGAGGUUGAAAUUUUCCUCGAUUGUGAGAUAGGGUAGCAGCAUAGGCCAGACAACCAAAAACCUUGAUAUGAGUAAGAACAGGGGGUUGAUUGUAAAGAAUUUCAAAGGGAGUCUUGUCCCGGAUAGCAGAAGAAGGAGUUCUAUUUAUCAAAUAUACAGAAUGAAGCACAAAAUCACUCCAAUAUAUCAAAGGAAGACCAGAUUGAAACUGUAAAGCUCUCGCAACGUUCAAAAUGUGUUGGUGUUUUCGUUCUACUUUUGCAUUUUGCUGUGGUGUUCUACUUUGGCAUUUUGUUGUGGUGUUUGGACACAAGACAUUUGAUGUACUAUACCAUGUUCAGAAUAGAAAUCAGGCAUGUGAAACUCUUUGCCUUGAUCACUCCUUAUCAUUUUGACUUUAGUUUUAAACUGUGUACAGACCAUGUUACAAAAAGAUUGCAGCAAGGCUCGGGUUUCUGACUUGUAUUUCAUUAAGUAAAUCCAUACUCCUCGUGAAUAGUCGUCAACAAUAGUGAGAAAAUAUAGGAAACCAUCGUGUGAUUCAGUUGACAACGGACCCCAAAUAUCAACAUGAAUGAGAUCGAAAAUAGCACUGACAGUGGUCUGACUGCUAUGGAAAGGAAGACGUUUAUGUUUAGAGAGAUGGCAAACAGAACAAUGAGACAAAGUUUCAGUAACAAUGUUAUGAUCAUGACUAUGUAAAAGCUUCAAUUUCUCAGCACUAGGAUGUCCCAUUCUCCAAUGCCAGAGACUCAUCUCUUCUGGUUUGUAAUUGUGGCUAACAGCUACUUGAGUUCUGGAAGGAAGGGAUUGAGAAGAAGAUGAUGAAAUGUGUUUGUUAGUAGGCUGAAGGUGAUAAAGCCCUCUAGUCUGAACGGCUAAACCAAUCGUCUUGCCUGUUGUGAGAUCUUGAAGCUGGUAAUUGUUGGAUUGAAAGGUCAGUGAAACAGGAAGAUGAGAGGUUAGCUUACUGACUGAGACUAGAUUAAAGUGAAAAGUUGGGACACACAGAGCGUUAUGAAUGAUUUGGCCAUGAGGCAGUCUAACACUACCAACAUGACUGACAGACAUAGGAGAGGAGUCAGGAAGAUACACAUUGACCCCUAUGACAGACUUAUAGGAAAUGAAGUGUUUAAGAGAGCAAGUUGGUGGCCUUGGAUUACUGGACUGCUUGCAGCAGUUGCUUGAGCUGAGUCAACUCAGCAUUGGUUAAUGAAAGAGCAGCUGCCACUGUAGGGAUUUGUUGCUGAUCUACUGCUCCAGCAAAGUGAUUUGAAGGUGCUGAGCUGUUGUUAGUAUUCUGAGCAUUUUGUUCUUGCUGUUUCUUCCACUUUAACCUUCUGCACUCAUCCAGAAUGUGCCCUUCCUUCUUACAGUAUCUGCAAAACUUCUUCCCAGCUUGAUUAUAGUCUCUGGAAUUUCCAAAACUAGCAGCCAUAACCAUCCUUCCAUCAACUUCAGAUGGUACUGCAAAUGCCACAUUCUGAAUGUUGUUAUCCUUCCCGAUCAUUAUACCACCUUUCAACUUCUCUUCAUGCUGAAGAGCAUGAUCAUAAGCUGAGCUGACAGUAGGCAAUGGUGUCAUCAUAAGUAACUGAGUCCUGAACAAAUGUAACUGAGUCCUGACCACAUCAAAAUCUUCGUUCAGUCCUCUACGGAAUCGAAUUAAGUAAUCAGUAUCUUGUUUCUCCUGGAAUGCUACCACUGCUGCACAAGGUAACACACUAGCUGGUGCACAACUGCAAGGAACUAUAGGUGAGAACUGGCUAUAUUCUUCCCAGAGUCCUUUGAUUAUUGUAUAGUAUUGCGUCACAGACAUUUGUCCCUGUUUACAUCCAUGUAUUUCAUCCUGUAGAUUAGCCAUUUUCAAAGCAUUUGCUUGUCCAAACCUGCGUUUAAGCUCUUGCCACAGAAUUUGAGCAUUUUCAUGAUUCAAUACGCUUCUACGUAUUUCUGGAUGCAAUGAGUUUGCAAUCCAGCAUAGCACCAUAGUGUUGCAAGCAUCCUAAAGGGAGUAUCUAUCACUAGUAGGAGCAGGAGGGACUAUAGAUCCAUCAAUGAAACCCACUUUAUGCUUAGUUUUCAAUGCAAACCUUACGGAUCUACUCCACAUUUGAUAGUUAGAUCCAUCCAGCACUGUAUUAACUAUAGAUUGAGAUAGAUUUUCAUUUGGAUUAAGGUAAUAAGGAUUACCAAAGGUCAGGUUAACAGACGCCAUAGGUGAAGCAUCUCUACUGCGAUGAACAUUUCCAACAGAUCCAAAAACGAAUCCUGAGGUGUGCUGAUGGUUGGUUUGUUCAUCAUCAUCCUGACUUCGAGUCAUUGUUGAGUUUUAGAUCGAUACAACCCGGUCUGAUACUAUAUUAAGAUGAUAGAAGAAUCGAUUGAUUCGUGAGGAAGAAGAAAUGCAAAGGAAAGAAUGCAGAGAAGAAGGAAGAAGAUAAGAAUGAGUCUGAAAGCCUGAAUCGAUUUAUUCCGUUGGUUGGGUUUUUAUACUGAAACCCAACGGUAACUUCAACAGUAAAAACAAAAUUAUAAACGUGGGGAAAAAACGCGGGUAAAAACACGUGUCCACGUUUGAUACAUCAACGAUUAAAACAUAAACGGAAAUAAACGGAAGGUAAACGGAAGGCCAAAACUCGUUGUUUCAUUAAAUCUCUUCUCCUCUUUCUCGACGUUGACCAACGGUCUUCCUUCUAACGCCGUGUGUUCUUCGCUGCGUUUAACAUGCUAAACGGGCUUUCCCAGAAUCCUAACAGCUUCACUACUGAUCCCUCCAUUUUGAAAGUAUGAACUCUGAAAGUCUUGGGGGAGUUAGUGAAGACUAUAAAUAAAGAAACAGAGACAUCGGACAUGGACGUUUCUUAGCGAUCAAGUUUUG
This 4662-nucleotide long non-coding RNA is filed under the name Linum usitatissimum (flax). RNAcentral's name for it is "long non-coding RNA (LUSI_LNC002716)". Lineage: Eukaryota; Viridiplantae; Streptophyta; Magnoliopsida; Malpighiales; Linaceae. The record is from RNAcentral.